GACGAACGCUGGCGGCGUGCCUAAUACAUGCAAGUCGAGCGAGUCUGCCUUGAAGAUCGGAGUGCUUGCACUCUGUGAAACAAGAUACAGGCUAGCGGCGGACGGGUGAGUAACACGUGGGUAACCUGCCCAAGAGAUCGGGAUAACACCUGGAAACAGAUGCUAAUACCGGAUAACAACAGAUGAUGCCUAUCAACUGUUUAAAAGAUGGUUCUGCUAUCACUCUUGGAUGGACCUGCGGUGCAUUAGCUAGUUGGUAGGGUAACGGCCUACCAAGGCGAUGAUGCAUAGCCGAGUUGAGAGACUGAUCGGCCACAUUGGGACUGAGACACGGCCCAAACUCCUACGGGAGGCAGCAGUAGGGAAUCUUCCACAAUGGACGCAAGUCUGAUGGAGCAACGCCGCGUGAGUGAAGAAGGGUUUCGGCUCGUAAAGCUCUGUUGUUGGUGAAGAAGGACAGGGGUAGUAACUGACCUUUGUUGACGUAAUCAAUAGAAGUCAC
Molecule: ribosomal RNA, 502 nt
Filed under: Lactobacillus iners
Lineage: Bacteria; Bacillati; Bacillota; Bacilli; Lactobacillales; Lactobacillaceae
Description: bacterial SSU rRNA
Rfam family: Bacterial small subunit ribosomal RNA
Source: RNAcentral